CGGUCUACAUUAGAUACCCCCGUAGUCCCAGCCGUAAACUAUGCGCGUUAGGUGUGUCGGUAACCACGUGUUACUGAUGCGCCGAAGAGAAAUCGUGAAACGCACCACCUGGGAAGUACGGUCGCAAGGCUGAAACUUAAAGGAAUUGGCGGGGAGCACCACAACAGGUGGAGCCUGCGGUUUAAUUGGAUUCAACGCCGGACAUCUCACCGGAUAAGACAGCUGAAUGAUUGUCAAUCUGAAGGUUUUACAUGACUAGCUG
This 262-nucleotide ribosomal RNA is filed under the name uncultured archaeon. RNAcentral's name for it is "partial 16S ribosomal RNA". It matches the Rfam family "Archaeal small subunit ribosomal RNA", at positions 716 to 982 of the family's 1478-position model. The record is from RNAcentral.